RNAcentral lists this ribosomal RNA (897 nucleotides) under Triticum aestivum (bread wheat). RNAcentral describes it as "partial small subunit ribosomal RNA". Lineage: Eukaryota; Viridiplantae; Streptophyta; Magnoliopsida; Poales; Poaceae. The record is from RNAcentral.
AUGGCGGCGGCGACCGAGGUCUACUCUCCGACGCCGGCGGAGCAGCAUCGGGAGCAGGCGGCGUGGCGGGCGGUGGUGGGUUGGCUCGGGCUCCUCCUGCAGGUCCUUCUCCAGGUCAUCCGCGGCGCGCCCUCCUCCCUGGCGAAGCUCCUCAGGUCCCUCGGCCUCCGCCACCCCCUCCUCUCUGCCGCCCCCGCGGUGACCUUCGUGCAGCUCCCCUCCAAGGCCCCCGCCGACGACUUGCCGCCCCUGUCUCCGCCGCCUGGGCGGCUCACGGUAGUGUUGGACUUGGAUGAAACAUUAGUCUGUGCAUACGAGUCGUCGAGCCUUACUGCCGCCGUGCGAACCCACGCGGUCGAAGCAGGGCUGCAUUGCUUUGACAUGGAGUGCAUAUCAUCCGACAAGGAUGCCAAAGGCAGACAGAGGGUGAAUCAUGUAACUGUCUUCGAGCGUCCUGGUUUACAAGAGUUUUUGCAGAAAACUAAUGAAUUUGCCGAUCUUAUACUCUUCACCGCUGGUUUGGAAGGAUAUGCAAAGCCUUUGGUUGACAGGAUAGAUGCUCACAAUAGGUUCUGUCGCCGUCUCUACAGACCAUCAACUGUUACUACGGAAUAUAGAGACCAUGUGAAGGAUCUUUCUUGUUUGUCCAAAGAUUUCCGUAGAAUUGUGCUUGUCGAUAACAAUCCAUAUAGCUUCCUACUACAGCCGUUAAAUGGGAUACCGUGCCUUACGUUUUCAGCUGGACAGCCCAUGGAUGAUCAGCUUAUGAGAGUGAUAUUUCCGCUUCUCAAGCGCCUCUCUCUCCAAAAUGAUGUGAGGCCGGCAUUGCAUGACGCGUUUCACAUGCCAGAGUGGUUCCAAAGAAAUGGGAUCCCACAAAUUGACCAGGGAAUGUAA